GAAAGUAAAAAAGGGCGCAUGGCGGAUGCCUUGGCUCUCGGAGGCGAUGAAGGACGUGAUAAGCUGCGAUAAGCUUUGGGGAGGUGCAAAUGACCUUUGAUCCAGAGAUUUCCGAAUGGGACAACCCAAUAUCUUGAAGAGGUAUUAUCCAACGUUGUUGGAGGCUAACGCAGGGAACUGAAACAUCUUAGUACCUGCAGGAAAAGAAAAUAAACAAUGAUUCCCCCAGUAGUGGCGAGCGAACGGGGAACAGCCCAAACCAUCCAUGUUACGGCAUGGGUGGGGUUGUAGGACUACGCCGUUGCAUGAAGACAUCAGAGAAGAACUUUCUGGAAAGAAAGACCAUAGAGCAUGACAGUUGCGUAUUCGAAUGUUGUCGAAGCAUAGUAGUAUCCUGAGUAGCGCGGAGCACGAGGAAUUCUGCGUGAAUCUGCCGGGACCAUCCGGUAAGGCUAAAUACUCCCGAGAGACCGAUAGCGAACCAGUACCGUGAGGGAAAGGUGAAAAGCACUUCGAACAGAAGAGUGAAAUAGUUCCUGAAACCGUGCGCCUACAAGCGGUCGGAGCUCGUUAAUGAGUGACGGCGUGCCUUUUGCAUAAUGAACCUACGAGUUGCCUUUGCCGGCAAGGUUAAGUGUGACGACACACGUAUCCGAAGCGAAAGCGAGUCUGAACAGGGCGUAUAGUCGGCAGUGGCAGACGCGAAACCAAGUGAUCUACCCUUGGCCAGGUUGAAGGCUGGGUAACACCAGCUGGAGGACCGCACCAAUAAGCGUUGAAAAGCUUCUGGAUGAGCUGAGGGUAGGGGUGAAAGGCUAAUCAAACUUGGAGAUAGCUCGUACUCCCCGAAAUGCAUUUAGGUGCAGCCUUGCGGGUUACUGAUGUGAGGUAGAGCGACUGAUAAGAUGCGAGGGCUUCACCGCCUAUCAAGUCUUGACAAACUCCGAAUGCGCAUCAGUUCUACCGCAGGAGUGAGGGCAUGGGUGCUAAGGUCCGUGCCCGAGAGGAGAAGAAUCCGGACCACCUGCUAAGGUCCCGAAAUGACAGCUAAGUUAAACUAACGAAGUCUGACUGCUAAGACAGCUAGGAUGUUGGCUUGGAAGCAGCCAUUCAUUUAAAGAGUGCGUAACAGCUCACUAGUCGAGGAGUCGGGCGUGGAUAAUAAUCGGGUAUCAAGUUGUCUACCGAAGCAGUGGGAUCAUUUAUAUGAUCGGUAGGGGAGCAUUCCAGUCAGCGUCGAAGGCGUACCGUGAGGUAUUCUGGAGCGUCUGGAAAAGCAAAUGUAGGUAUAAGUAACGAUAAAGGGGGCGGGAAACCCCCUCGCCGAAAGACUAAGGUUUCCUGAUCAACGCUAAUCGGAUCAGGGUCAGUCGGGUCCUAAGGCUCAGCCGAACGGCGAUGCCGAUGGCAGAAACGGUUAAUAUUCCGUUACUACCUUCAGGAGUGACGUGGAGACGCAGUAGUGACAGUGCCGCCAUCUGACGGAAUAGAUGGUUGAAGGGUGUAGGAGUCGAUCAUGGCAGGCAAAUCCACCAUGAGAUCCGAACCUGACAGUAUGCCGCGUCCUUCGGGACAAGGCAAUAGUGCGCGUAAGCAUGCUGCCGAGAAAAUCCGCUAAACUUAAUCCUGCAGGUACCCGUACCGCAAACGGACACACGUAGUCGGGAUGAAUAUUCUAAGGCGCUUGAGUGAUUCACGGUUAAGGAACUAGGCAAACUGACCCUGUAACUUCGGGAUAAAGGGUCCCUACCCUUUUAUGGGAGGGCGCAGAGAAUCGGUCCAGGCAACUGUUUAACAAAAACACAGGGCUGUGCCAAAUCGAAAGAUCCAGUAUACAGCCUGACACCUGCCCGGUGCUGGAAGGUUAAGAGGAGAUGUCAUCGAUAAGAGAAGCGUUGAAUUGAAGCCCCAGUAAACGGCGGCCGUAACUAUAACGGUCCUAAGGUAGCGAAAUUCCUUGUCGGGUAAGUUCCGACCUGCACGAAUGGUGUAAUGAUCUGGACACUGUCUCAACCGUGAGCUCAGUGAAAUUGUAGUAUCGGUGAAGAUGCCGAUUACCCGCGAUGGGACGAAAAGACCCCGUGAACCUUUACUAUAGCUUAUCAUUGAAUCUGGGCACGUGAUGUGUAGGAUAGGUCGGAGGCUUUGAAGCAGGUACGCCAGUAUUUGUGGAGCCGCUGUUGAAAUACGACCCUUUAUUUGUUUGGAUUCUAACCCGUGGAUACGGGGACAUUGAUUGGUGGGUAGUUUGACUGGGGUGGUCGCCUCCAAAAGCGUAACGGAGGCUUCUAAAGGUGCCCUCCGGCCGAUUGGUAACCGGCCUUAGAGUGUAAUGGCAUAAGGGCGCUUGACUGGGAGACUGACAAGUCGAUCAGGUAGGAAACUAGAGCAUAGUGAUCCGGUGUUUCCGUAUGGAA
RNAcentral lists this ribosomal RNA (2417 nucleotides) under human gut metagenome. RNAcentral describes it as "bacterial LSU rRNA". It matches the Rfam family "Bacterial large subunit ribosomal RNA", at positions 1 to 2438 of the family's 2925-position model. The record is from RNAcentral.